UAUCGGAUUGAUACUAAGCCAUGCGAGUCAUUGUAGCAAUACAAGGCAGACGGCUCAGUAACGCGUAGUCAAUCUACCCUAUGGACGGGAAUAACCUCGGGAAACUGAGAAUAAUGCCCGAUAGAACAUUAUGCCUGGAAUGGUUUAUGUUUCAAAUGAUUUAUCGCCAUAGGAUGGGACUGCGGCCUAUCAGUUUGUUGGUGAGGUAAUGGCCCACCAAGACUAUUACAGGUACGGGCUCUGAGAGGAGUAGCCCGGAGAUGGGUACUGAGACACGGACCCAGGCCCUAUGGGGCGCAGCAGGCGAGAAAACUUUGCAAUGUGCGAAAGCACGACAAGGUUAAUCCGAGUGGUUUCUGCUAAAGAAACCUUUUGUCAGCCCUAGAAACACUAACGAAUAAGGGGUGGGCAAGUUCUGGUGUCAGCCGCCGCGGUAAAACCAGCACCUCAAGUGGUCAGGAUGAUUAUUGGGCCUAAAGCAUCCGUAGCUCGUUUUGUAAGUUUUCGGUUAAAUCCAUGCGCUUAACGUAUGGGCUGCCGGGAAUACUGCAUAACUAGGAAGUGGGAGAGGUAGGCGGUACUCGGGAGGAAGGGGUAAAAUCCUUUGAUCUCUUGAUGACCACCUGUGGCGAAGGCGGUCUACCAGAACACGUUCGACGGUGAGGGAUGAAAGCUGGGGGAGCAAACCGGAUUAGAUACCCGGGUAGUCCCAGCUGUAAACUAUGCAAACUCAGUGAUGCAUUGGCUUAUGGCCAAUGCAGUGCUGCAGGGAGGCCGUUAAGUUUGCCGCCUGGGAAGUACGUACGCAAGUAUGAAACUUAAAGGAAUUGGCGGGGGAGCACCACAAGGGGUGAAGCCUGCGGUUCAAUUGGAGUCAACGCC
This 882-nucleotide ribosomal RNA is filed under the name uncultured archaeon. RNAcentral's name for it is "bacterial SSU rRNA". It matches the Rfam family "Archaeal small subunit ribosomal RNA", at positions 31 to 919 of the family's 1478-position model. The record is from RNAcentral.